RNAcentral lists this ribosomal RNA (264 nucleotides) under uncultured Glomeromycotina. Its description in RNAcentral is "partial 18S ribosomal RNA". It matches the Rfam family "Eukaryotic small subunit ribosomal RNA", at positions 619 to 888 of the family's 1831-position model. The record is from RNAcentral. Lineage: Eukaryota; Fungi; Glomeromycota.
UUAAAAAGCUCGUAGUUGAAUUUCGGGAUCAAAUUGUCGGUCGUGCCUCGGUACGUACUGGUAUUAUUGGUUCCUCCCUUCUGACGAACCACGAUGUCAUUAAUUUGGUGUCAUGGGAAAUCAGGACUGUUACUUUGAAAAAAUUAGAGUGUUUAAAGCAGGCUCGCGCUUGAAUACAUUAGCAUGGAAUAAUGAAAUAGGACGUUUGAUUCUAUUUUGUUGGUUUCUAGGAUCGACGUAAUGAUUAAUAGGGAUAGUUGGGGG